This 71-nucleotide transfer RNA is filed under the name Camelus bactrianus (Bactrian camel). It matches the Rfam family "tRNA". Rfam says of the family: Transfer RNA (tRNA) molecules are approximately 80 nucleotides in length. Their secondary structure includes four short double-helical elements and three loops (D, anti-codon, and T loops). Further hydrogen bonds mediate the characteristic L-shaped molecular structure. tRNAs have two regions of fundamental functional importance: the anti-codon, which is responsible for specific mRNA codon recognition, and the 3' end, to which the tRNAs corresponding amino acid is attached (by aminoacyl-tRNA synthetases). tRNAs cope with the degeneracy of the genetic code in two manners: having more than one tRNA (with a specific anti-codon) for a particular amino acid; and 'wobble' base-pairing, i.e. permitting non-standard base-pairing at the 3rd anti-codon position. RNAcentral also lists the same sequence under 2 other names. Lineage: Eukaryota; Metazoa; Chordata; Mammalia; Artiodactyla; Camelidae. The record is from Rfam by way of RNAcentral.
GAGGGUAUGCUCGGUGGUAGAGCACAUGCUUAGCAUGCAUGAGGUCCUGGGUUCAAUCCCCAGUACCUCCA